GAUAAGUACUUAAUUACAUCACUAAUAGUUGAACCUAUCUGCGAAUUCCCAAAUUUACGGGGCUAAAACAUGACAAGCACUAAAUUAGUACUAGUAGUUGGACUAAUGCACGAAAUUCCGAUAAUAUAAGGCUUUUUCUGCAAUCUAGCCUAUCGCCCGUUGGUUUUUUUUCUUGCUGGUUAUUGCAACGUGGGCCACAACCCACGAGGCCUUUCGGCCCAGGCCCAUGGCGGCGCCGCUGAAGGAGCGGAUAAGGGGGACUGGGAGGUGGGGCGGUUGGGGUCAAUCCCCCCCAUUCCACUGCCACCUCCACGGGAUCCCGCCGGCCGCCGCCGAUGGCGCCCAGCGCCGGCGAUCUUCAGGAGGAGGACGUCCCCCCCGCAGCGUAGCCGGGGAGGUGGAGGCUUGCAGGGGCCCAGGAGCCGGAGCGGAGGCCGGGGUGGUGCUGCUCCAACGCCGCCGCGAAACGAUGAAGGAUCCGUCGAGCCACGGGUGGCGGCGUUCGCGGGCUUGCUGGGGCGGAGGCGGCGGAGAUGCUGGGGCCGUGGAAGACAACGCCUCAUCCUCGAUCUUCAUGCCGGUGGCAAUGUUGAGGUCGGGGACGGUAGCGCCGGGUUCAUUGGUCUCCGCCGGUGUGCUUGGCUCCUGCUUCACAACGGAGUUGAGCCACUGCUCCUCCUCUUCGUUCGGCGUCACCUCCCACUCCAUCAUGGCGGGCACGGGGCCAUAGCCCGGAGGGGCGAAGUGCUCCUCGUCUUCGUCAGCGGGCGUCGGUGUAGUGAGGUCCGGGUAGGCGAGCGGCUCGUCGAUGACCUCCGGUUCCGGUGGUGGAGUGGCCGGCGGUGGAGGGCACGACCCGUACCCGUGCACGGGGCAGAAAUCGCGGGCAGGGCAAGGGACGAAUCCGUGCACCAGGCAAAAGGCCAUGCCUGCGUCCAUGCCAUUGCCGAAGAAGAUCCCCGGCGGUGGCGGGGCCUGGGCGGCGUCGAAGAACUCCUCCUCGCCCAGGAACGGGGCUGCAGCCUCGGCAGGAGCCCAGUCCAUUGGCGGAGCGACGAAGGCCGGCAUCAGGGGUGCCUGGUAGGCGUGGUGGACGGCGGCAGAUGGGUUGCUUGGUCCUGCCUACUCUGCGGCAGCGGGGCCAGGGUGAUCAUGACGACCAUGGCGACCACGGCGAUCACGGCGGCCGUUGCCUGGGCCCCAAUGGCGAGGAACACCAGCACUGUGGCGUCUGGCAGAUCGACGGAUCUCCCGUCCAAUGAAUCGAACAAGGGCAGAGGCGAUUCUGUGCAGGUUCACCCCUGCCAUCUUACGUUCUCUCUCGUCCUGUUCAUGCUCUGUUUUUCUUGUCGGAAUUGCUCUCGCCGGGGAGCAGUGCUGAUAACGUGUAAGAAUUCGUGAGAAACUUGUGUUUAUUGAUUCUGGGCAAAGCCCUAUUUAUACAAGGAUUUGGGGCGCCUCCGGAGAGGCGUCCAUUUACAAUAGGCGCCUGUGGUGCGAGAAGACGCCCGUACGGACAUUUACGUCCGUACGGCGGCGCUUUGGACACACGUACGACUCUUAGCGCUAAUGACGUCGCUUUAUUCUUAACAGAUUUCAUGCACUCCUUUCACCUCACCACACAUGCCACAUCAAAGGUCCGCUCAAAAUGCAUGAAAUAAGUUUUCCGUUAAGUUAUCCCACUUAUAUUCAAAAUGUUCUCUGACUACACAAUAAUCAAAUACAAUAUAUAAUUUUUAUUUUUAGCUUUAGUUCAUAUAUUAUUAAUUCAACUAUGGAAGCUUCAUACAAUCAAAUCAGUGAAAUAUAUUGCAAUCGAUUCCUGCAGCGUGCGGGGUAUUUUCUAGUUCCAGAAGAGGCGGGGUGAGCAUGGA
Molecule: ribosomal RNA, 1874 nt
Filed under: Triticum aestivum (bread wheat)
Lineage: Eukaryota; Viridiplantae; Streptophyta; Magnoliopsida; Poales; Poaceae
Description: partial small subunit ribosomal RNA
Source: RNAcentral